GAAAAGUGGUGGUGAUUUUCCAUUUCUAUCUAGGCCUGAUGAAGUGAAUCUUCAUCUUCAGCUACACCUGAGACGUGUUGGUGUUGAAGCUCGACCUGACUUGAUCCCUGGUGUUCCAAAGGAUGAUAGUGGUGGAAGUUCCAAAGAGCCAAACAACGGAAGAAAGGAUGCUGAUGAUUCAUCAGAAAAUGAUAAAAGAGACUCAGAAACUCCUCCUACAGAAAGUGCAGAGCCCCCCUUGGCUCCAGAAGCUACCGGUUCUCACGAUUUAGAUAACCAACUCCUUA
This 287-nucleotide unclassified non-coding RNA is filed under the name Hevea brasiliensis (rubber tree). Lineage: Eukaryota; Viridiplantae; Streptophyta; Magnoliopsida; Malpighiales; Euphorbiaceae. The record is from RNAcentral.